GGGGUUCCCGCAGAGGAGGGCCGGGAGGGGUGGCCGCGAGGGGCGGCAGGCCCGGGCCGCGCCUCGGGGACUCCCGCGGGCCCCACGCAGCGGCAGCCGCGCCCCGGGAGCGGGGUCCUCGGGCAGGCCCGCCUGGGGCGCAGGGGUUGGGGAGCGGAGCGGCCUCCGCGUGAGGGGCGCCCGGCCCCGGCCCCCAGGCCGCCCGUGUCUCGCCGGCCCCUGGGGCUUGACGGAGCGGGGGGUGCCGCCGCCGCGCCGCGCGCUGUGGGCAGAACUUUGGCUGACGUGGCGGUCAGCGAGCAAGCCGGUACGUGCCUUGUUGUUUGGAGCAGGAGUAUUUCGUAUAUUUAAAAAGCUCUUGGUGUUUACAGCAUUUCUUUGUUUUGUUUUUGGUUUGUGUUUUGUCUUCGUUAAGGUUAUUAGUGCUUUCUUUCAAGCGUUGGCAAACUUUAUCAUCGUAUUUUGUAGGACUUAACGUUAAAUUGUUUUUCUUAUUUGGAAACUGUGUGCAUAUAUGCUCAUUACAGGCCGAAGAGCCACAAAAGUUGACGGCUGUAGCCACAGAAUUGUGACCAGUUUUUAUGAAUUGCACUUUUUUGGGGAAGCAUGUUUUCUGCUUAAAGGAGUCCUAGUCUUUGAGUCCAACUGUGCCCUGAAAAUAGUGACUGCCUGUGUGGAGUGGGCCGCAGAUAAAAUAUUUAAACAAAAGAUCGUACACUAAUAAUCUGUCAACAGAUUAAUGAAGGAGGCUGGAAAUUCUGGUUUAAACAUUAAUAAAAAGAUAAAGAAGAGCCAAUUAAGAAUACCAAAAUGUGCCUGCUUAUUAUAAAUUUUCAUUUCUUCUGGUCUUUUGUUAUUAAUGUGCUUUUAUAAAUGCAGCUUUGAAGUUCUGUCUAGUUUACAUUUUAGACAAGGAGUUACCAGGGCAGCUGUUACCCAGACCCCCCCUUCCCUGGUUCAAUUCCCUGUUAUAGUGGCUGCAGCUCUGACUUCUGUUCUUAGAACGUAGGAACUGCCCCUCACACCCCAGCAUCUCAGUCUUUGGGCGGAAGGAUACUCAACAGGUAUCUGAAAAGGCAUUUUGGGAUGGCAACUGACACCAACCGGCAACUGUCCCCAGUGGUGAGGACUUAACCUCAAUUAUUUUGUGAGCUAGUGCUGGGAAAACGAACAGCACCCACACAAGUCUUUCCUUAUUUCAUACAGCUUUUUGUUAAAAUAAAUCUUACCUGUGUCUGAUCCUCAAGAGGAGACCUCUGUGUACCUUUUGUUUAUAGUCCAAGUGACUGAGCAGCCAGCGCCACGCACCUGCCAGACUGCCGAAACUGUGCAGGUGGUGAGCGUGAGGAUUCUGCAAGGUGGAGCAGCUGACCCAUGAGUCAGCCCUUGCCCAGUUCUAGCAUUAUGACUUACGUUGUUUUUUUAGGACAUGUGCCCCAUUGUGCCAGGUACUGUAUGGAACAUAAGAGAGCAGCUCUUCCUCAGGGCGUUUUGUGUUUUGUGUUGUUUGGUCCCCUCUUCCUGGCUGGCUCUCCGGCUUAUUUGAUCCUCGUGAGUCUAUGAAGUGGGCGCUGUUAUCAUCCCCAUUCUGCAGGUGGGGAAGCGUGGGCACUGUCGGACGGACUGAUUUCCUCGGGAUCAUAAUGCUUGCACAUAAGGAAUGCGCAUGUUACAGUUCCUAUAGCCACAGAAUACUGUGUGGGGGCGGGAAGGACAUGCCCUUCGGAGUUCCCCCGGUCGGACCUUGCUGAUUGCGUCCCCAUGGUGUCCUGGAAAAUGUCGCUCUGAUCUGUUUUUCCAGUCCGUUGACGGCUGCAAUCUAAAGCCUUGACCACAUUCAGAUUUGACGUUUUUCUUUUUGAGAAGACUUUCUUUGGAG
Long non-coding RNA from Manis pentadactyla (Chinese pangolin), 1879 nucleotides. RefSeq lists it as uncharacterized. The transcript is spliced from 3 exons. The record is from RefSeq and is a predicted model, not a curated record. Lineage: Eukaryota; Metazoa; Chordata; Mammalia; Pholidota; Manidae.